CCUACGGGAGGCAGCAGUGGGGAAUAUUGCACAAUGGGGGAAACCCUGAUGCAGCGACGCCGCGUGAAGGAAGACGUACUUCGGUAUGUUAACUUCUAUUAGCAGGGAAGAAAAUGACGGUACCUGACUAAGAAGCCACGGCCAAAUACGGGCCAGCAGCCGCGGUAAUACGGAGGGGGCCAGCGUUAUCCGGAUUUACUGGGCGUAAUGGGAGCGUAGGGGGUUUAGCAAGUGAGAAGUGAAAGCCCGGGGGUCAACUCCGGGACUGCUUUUGAAACUGUUGAACUAGAUUGCAGGAGGGGUAAGUGGAAUUCCUAGUGUAGCGGUGAAAUGCUUAGAUAUUAGGAGGAACACCGAUGGCGAAGGCAUCUUACUGGAGUGUAAAUGACGCUGAGGCUCGAAAGCGUGGGGAGCAAACAGGAUUAGAUACCCGGGUAGUC
RNAcentral lists this ribosomal RNA (440 nucleotides) under uncultured bacterium. RNAcentral describes it as "partial 16S ribosomal RNA". It matches the Rfam family "Bacterial small subunit ribosomal RNA", at positions 338 to 795 of the family's 1533-position model. The record is from RNAcentral.